This is a non-coding RNA of Angiostrongylus cantonensis (rat lungworm), 73 nucleotides long. The record is from Rfam. Lineage: Eukaryota; Metazoa; Nematoda; Chromadorea; Rhabditida; Metastrongylidae.
GCCCCGUUAGCUGAGUUGGUAGUGCGUUAGGCUUUUAAUCUAACGCUCUGUGGUUCUAAUCCCCUACGGGGCU